Molecule: non-coding RNA, 72 nt
Organism: Capsicum annuum
Lineage: Eukaryota; Viridiplantae; Streptophyta; Magnoliopsida; Solanales; Solanaceae
Source: Rfam
GGUUCCUUAGCUCAAUGUUAGAGCAUUUGACUGCACAUCAAGAGGUCACCAGUUCAAACCUGGUAGGGCCCU